CUUAGCAACGAAACCACUACCACACUAAAACUGAUACAGAAAAGAUGAGCAUGGCCCCUGCACAAGGAUGGUACCAGGCUCCUGAGCCAGUCCAUAUCCUU
RNAcentral lists this small nuclear RNA (101 nucleotides) under Moschus moschiferus (Siberian musk deer). The record is from RNAcentral. Lineage: Eukaryota; Metazoa; Chordata; Mammalia; Artiodactyla; Moschidae.